Molecule: long non-coding RNA, 169 nt
Organism: Sander lucioperca (pikeperch)
Lineage: Eukaryota; Metazoa; Chordata; Actinopteri; Perciformes; Percidae
Exons: 3
Source: RefSeq, a predicted model, not a curated record
UCAGUUUUAAUGAACCCUUGUGAAAUGUUGACUUUGGGUCAAACUGACCCGUUUUCAAUUUUUGUUUCAUAUCAGAAAAUAUGGGAUGUAGAAAUAAGCGGUGAAAAUGUGUAGAAGAAAAAUUUAACAAUUUAACACGUUGGAAAAAGCAAAAACAAACUGUGAAAAA